CCGAGCCUGCAGCUGCCGUGCCGCGGCCCUGAGCCCACAGUGACUGGGCUGGGGCUCUCGUUCCCCCGCUGGCGUCACAAUGGGUCCUUUAGGAGCGGGGGCCCCACCUGGGUGUUGUACCUUACGUUCACGGCAGCCACGUGUAUGUACUUCCCAGUGGCGUUUAUCUUGCAGAAAGGGACCUUUACUCAUGGGGGGGAUAAAUGGGAAACUAAAACUUUCUUCAAAGUUCUUCCAGAGUAAAAUAUGAAAAGGCGUUCAUAGUAGAACAGAGAAACAGGACAGAAUCAAUGAAAAAAACACGAAGACUGACAAACAACCAAUGCGCAGAAGAAGACAAACUACAAACAAAUACCGAGAGCGUGCGUUGUGGAGUCCUUGAACCAUUUCAGAGUUGAGAUUUCCAGCAUCUGCACUGCUUGAAGUCUCCAUGGUUCCAUGUUUAGUAUCCGCACCUACACCACCAUAAGGCCUGUCGUACAACAAUCUCAGUUGGCAGUUCUACAACUCUUGGUCUGCAGUCUGUCACAGGCAUUCCCUUUCCUUUCACGGUUGACGUUUAACUCUUCUAAGUUCUGACGAUCAGAUUUGGCUGAAUAUUGACCUCUCAUUGAUUCAUUGACAUGGCUCCUUCAGAGCACCCUGGUGUUGUCACUAUAUUACUGCCUUUGAAACAGUAGUACGGGAGAGUGAAGACUUUAUCGAAGUACAGGACCCGAAGAUUUGAGAGGAGUCAGCAUCGUUCGGCAGUUUAACAAAGGAUCGACCUUAUUGAGUCUUCGGUGGAGGAGGAGUGACCUGCAUCGAAGAUAACUCUUGCCAAAAGAGCAAGGAGUUCAUGCAGGAUUUGCUCUCUAGAAGAAUUUAAGGUCAGUUGUAUUAAACUGUUUAUUUUCGGCAUCGUGAAUCCUGUGGACAGAUCCAGCAGGAAAGUCGCGUCUAUGAAGAAAUCCUUCUCCAGAGAAGUCUCUCCCAAUUGAAUGUAUAAAUCUGGUGGACUUUCGAAUUUACCAUUUUAAGAACUAUAUCUGACUUAACUGCUUUAAGAACUGUUUUCGCAUUUAACGCUUUCAGAACCAGUGCCGAGUGA
Mobula hypostoma (lesser devil ray) is the source of this 1090-nucleotide long non-coding RNA. RefSeq lists it as uncharacterized. The transcript is spliced from 4 exons. The record is from RefSeq and is a predicted model, not a curated record. Lineage: Eukaryota; Metazoa; Chordata; Chondrichthyes; Myliobatiformes; Myliobatidae.